UUGUCCAGUGCCAGCUUCUCCAGGAAGGCAUAGCUGACGUCGAAGCCAAAGCCCAGGCAGAAGAGGCUGUACCGGCCACUUACAGCUUCCCGCACGUUCUUCUGGAUGCUCCUGGGUAUUUCAGACGGCUUAUAUUAAAAAGUUCAGACAUCAUAAACCUGACAACCAUCAAAAGAGGGAAGACUUCAAAAACAUGGAGUAAAAGGGAACUAUAAUAACAA
Symphalangus syndactylus (siamang) is the source of this 221-nucleotide long non-coding RNA. RefSeq lists it as uncharacterized. The record is from RefSeq and is a predicted model, not a curated record. NCBI's taxonomy places the organism in Eukaryota, Metazoa, Chordata, Mammalia, Primates, Hylobatidae.